Amaranthus tricolor (Joseph's coat) is the source of this 591-nucleotide long non-coding RNA. RefSeq lists it as uncharacterized. Lineage: Eukaryota; Viridiplantae; Streptophyta; Magnoliopsida; Caryophyllales; Amaranthaceae. The record is from RefSeq and is a predicted model, not a curated record. The transcript has 3 exons.
ACAAUUAUAGUAAUAUUAAUGAUGAUAAAACAAAAAAAAAGAAAAAAAACUAAAACUAAAUAUCCAAAGAAAAAUCAGAAACCCAAUUCCUUAUCCCCAUUUCCCUUCUCGUCACUUUUUUUUUCUACCACCUUCUCAUUCCUUCUUCUUCCUUCUUAAACCGACACCCUUCCCACUUUCCUUUUCCUUUUCCUUUCUUCUUCUUCUUCGAGCGACAGCAGCACCAGCACCGCCUUCACCAUCUUCUUCUUCCUUCUUCUUGUAAUUGUUGGUGUAAACAAACUAAGGAGACGACGUCAUCGAGGAACCUUUCUAGUGAUCGCGGAGAAACGGAUUUUGCUUCUUGAAGCGUUCUUUUUGGUCGGAUCCGGUCGGGAAUAAUCGGGUUAGCAAUGUUGAUGAGAGUGCUAAGGAUGUCCUUUUGAGCUGAGGCCGUGGAAGCUUAUAGUUUGUAUUAGGAAUUUGUUUAAUGUAUAAUAGUUCUGAUUAGUUUUGAUUAUGUUGAUUAUAAUGGACUCGUAGUGAGUUGUAUGGUUACUUUAUGUUUAGAUUAGAUAUUUGAUUUGAGAUUUAGCUGUGUUGGUUUCGUUA